UCUUCAUAUCAGUUUCUGAUACUAGAAUAACAAGAGGUUUCUUUAUAGCUAAAUGAAUGACUGAAACUUGGGGAAAAACAAGACAAAGCAUAUCAAGGAAUUAUAAAGAUCAAAGGUAAUGCAUUGAUAUGGUAAUUUUAUAUAUUUGAAAU
Long non-coding RNA from Hibiscus syriacus, 152 nucleotides. RefSeq lists it as uncharacterized. The record is from RefSeq and is a predicted model, not a curated record. The transcript has 3 exons. Lineage: Eukaryota; Viridiplantae; Streptophyta; Magnoliopsida; Malvales; Malvaceae.